Molecule: ribosomal RNA, 497 nt
Filed under: uncultured bacterium
Lineage: Bacteria
Description: partial 16S ribosomal RNA
Rfam family: Bacterial small subunit ribosomal RNA
Source: RNAcentral
GAUGAACGCUGGCGGCGUGCCUAAUACAUGCAAGUCGAGCGAACGGACGAGAAGCUUGCUUCUCUGAUGUUAGCGGCGGACGGGUGAGUAACACGUGGAUAACCUACCUAUAAGACUGGGAUAACUUCGGGAAACCGGAGCUAAUACCGGAUAAUAUUUUGAACCGCAUGGUUCAAAAGUGAAAGAAGGUCUUGCUGUCACUUAUAGAUGGAUCCGCGCUGCAUUAGCUAGUUGGUAAGGUAACGGCUUACCAAGGCAACGAUGCAGAACCGACCCGAGCGGGAGAUCGCCCACACUGGAACUGAGACAGAGUCCAGACUCCGACGGUGGGCAGCGGUAGGGAAUCUUCCGCGAUGGGCGAGAGCCUAACGGAGCAACGCCGCGUGAGUGAUGAAGGUGUUCGGAUCGUAAAGCUCUGUUAUUAUGGAAGAAGAAAUGUGUUAGUAACUGUGCACAUCUUGACGGUACCGAGUCAGAAAGCCACGGCUAACUACGUG